GAUGAACGCUGGCGGCGUGCCUAAUACAUGCAAGUCGAACGCACAGCGAAAGGUGCUUGCACCUUUCAAGUGAGUGGCGAACGGGUGAGUAACACGUGGACAACCUGCCUCAAGGCUGGGGAUAACAUUUGGAAACAGAUGCUAAUACCGAAUAAAACUUAGUGUCGCAUGACACAAAGUUAAAAGGCACUUCGGCGUCACCUAGAGAUGGAUCCGCGGUGCAUUAGUUAGUUGGUGGGGUAAAGGCCUACCAAGACAAUGAUGCAUAGCCGGAUUGAGCGACUGAACGGCCACAUGGGGACUAGGACACGGCCCAAACUACUACGGGAGGCUGCAGUAGGAAAUCUUCCACAAUGGGCGAAAGCCUGAUGGAGCAACGCCGCGUGUGGGAUGAAGGCUUUCGGGUCGUAAAGCACUGUUGUAUGGGAAGAACAGCUAGAAUAGGAAAUGAUUUUAGUUUGACGGUACCAUACCAGAAAGGGACGGCUAAAUACGUGCCAGCAGCCGCCGUAA
RNAcentral lists this ribosomal RNA (513 nucleotides) under uncultured bacterium. RNAcentral describes it as "partial 16S ribosomal RNA". It matches the Rfam family "Bacterial small subunit ribosomal RNA", at positions 28 to 523 of the family's 1533-position model. The record is from RNAcentral.